UUCUGUGUAGCUCAGUUGGUUAGAGCGCUGCUCCGGAAUCGCAGGGCCGUAGGUUCGAUUCCUACCAGAGGAC
RNAcentral lists this transfer RNA (73 nucleotides) under Paramuricea clavata. It matches the Rfam family "tRNA". From Rfam's summary of the family: Transfer RNA (tRNA) molecules are approximately 80 nucleotides in length. Their secondary structure includes four short double-helical elements and three loops (D, anti-codon, and T loops). The record is from Rfam by way of RNAcentral. Lineage: Eukaryota; Metazoa; Cnidaria; Anthozoa; Malacalcyonacea; Plexauridae.